RNAcentral lists this non-coding RNA (86 nucleotides) under Luteibacter rhizovicinus. Lineage: Bacteria; Pseudomonadati; Pseudomonadota; Gammaproteobacteria; Lysobacterales; Rhodanobacteraceae. The record is from RNAcentral.
CCUUACGGCGGGCGUGCCGGGAGGACUUCGGUCCUGCCGGGUUCCUACUGCACCGGUUUUUCCACCCUGGCACGCCCGCCACCCGC